CCAAUAGCGUAUAUUAAAGUUGUUGCAGUUAAAAAGCUCGUAGUUGAAUUUCGGGCUUGACACAUCGGUCGUGCCUUAAGGGGUAUGAACUGGUGUAGUCAAUUUCUCACCUUCUGGAGAACCGCAAUGCCCUUAAUUGGGUGUCGCGGGGAACCAGGACCUUUACUUUGAAAAAAUUAGAGUGUUUAAAGCAGGCAUUUUGCUUGAAUACAUUAGCAUGGAAUAAUAAAAUAGGACGGAUGAUUCUAUUUUGUUGGUUUCUAGGACCACCGUAAUGAUUAAUAGGGAUAGUUGGGGGCAUUAGUAUUCAAUUGUCAGAGGUGAAAUUCUUGGAUUUAUUGAAGACUAACUACUGCGAAAGCAUUUGCCAAGGAUGUUUUCAUUAAUCAAGAACGAAAGUUAGGGGAUCGAAGACGAUCAGAUACCGUCGUAGUCUUAACCAUAAACUAUGCCGACUAGGAAUCAGACGAUGUUAAUUUUUUAAUGACUCGUUUGGCACCUUACGGGAAACCAAAGUGUUUGAAUUC
Molecule: unclassified non-coding RNA, 527 nt
Filed under: uncultured Glomeromycotina
Lineage: Eukaryota; Fungi; Glomeromycota
Description: SSU rRNA
Rfam family: Eukaryotic small subunit ribosomal RNA
Source: RNAcentral